GGGGGGAGAGGUAAGGGAGGAAGAGAGAGAGGUAAGGGAGGAAGAGAGAGAGGUAUAAGGGAGGAAGAGAGCGAGAGGUAAUGGAAGGAAGAGAGAGAGAGGUAAGGGAGGAAGAGAGAGAGGGGUAAGGGAGGAAGAGAGAGAGGUGUAAGGGAGGAAGAGAGAGAGAGGUAAGGGAGGAAGAGAGAGAGAGGUAAGGGAGGAAGAGAGAGAGAGAGACAGAGACUGACAGCAGGUAGAGAGACCCAAACAGACAGAGAGAGACUGACAGCAGGUAGAGAGACCCAAACAGACAGAGAGAGACUGACAGCAGGUAGAGAGACCCAAACAGACAGAGACUGACAGCAGGUAGAGAGACCCAAACAGACAGAGAGAGACUGACAGCAGGUAGAGACCCAAACAGACAGAGAGAGACUGACAGCAGGUAGAGAGACCCAAACAGACAGACUGACAGCAGGUAGAGACCCAAACAGACAGAGAGAGACUGACAGCAGGUAGAGAGACCCAAACAGACAGAGAGAGACUGACAGCAGGUAGAGAGACCCAAACAGACAGAGAGAGACUGACAGCAGGUAGAGAGACCCAAACAGACAGAGAGAGACUGACAGCAGGUAGAGAGACCCAAACAGACAGAGAGAGACUGACAGCAGGUAGAGAGACCCAAACAGACAGAGAGAGACUGACAGCAGGUAGAGAGACCCAAACAGACAGAGAGAGACUGACAGCAGGUAGAGAGACCCAAACAGACAGAGAGAGACUGACAGCAGGUAGAGAGACCCAAACAGACAGAGAGACUGACAGCAGGUAGAGAGACCCAAACAGACAGAGAGACUGACAGCAGGUAGAGAGACCCAAACAGACAGAGAGAGACUGACAGCAGGUAGAGACCCAAACAGACAGACUGACAGCAGGUAGAGAGACCCAAACAGACAGAGAGACUGACAGCAGGUAGAGAGACCCAAACAGACAGGGAGACUGACAGCAGGUAGAGACCCAAACAGACAGACUGACAGCAGGUAGAGAGACCCAAACAGACAGAGAGACUGACAGCAGGUAGAGAGACCCAAACAGACAGACUGACAGCAGGUAGAGAGACCCAAACAGACAGACUGACAGCAGGUAGAGAGACCCAAACAGACACAGACUGACAGCAGGUAGAGACCCAAACAGACAGAGAGACUGACAGCAGGUAGAGAGACCCAAACAGACAGAGACUGACAGCAGGUAGAGAGACCCAAACAGACAGAGAGACUGACAGCAGGUAGAGAGACCCAAACAGACAGAGAGAGACUGACAGCAGGUAAAGAGACCCAAACAGACAGAGAGAGACUGACAGCAGGUAGAGAGACCCAAACAGACAGAGAGAGACUGACAGCAGGUAGAGAGACCCAAACAGACAGAGAGAGACUGACAGCAGGUAGAGAGACCCAAACAGACAGAGAGAGACUGACAGCAGGUAGAGAGACCCAAACAGACAGAGAGAGACUGACAGCAGGUAGAGAGACCCAAACAGACAGACUGACAGCAGGUAGAGACCCAAACAGACAGAGAGAGACUGACAGCAGGUAGAGAGACCCAAACAGACAGAGAGAGACUGACAGCAGGUAGAGAGACCCAAACAGACAGAGAGAGACUGACAGCAGGUAGAGAGACCCAAACAGACAGACUGACAGCAGGUAGAGACCCAAACAGACAGAGAGACUGACAGCAGGUAGAGAGACCCAAACAGACAGAGACUGACAGCAGGUAGAGAGACCCAAACAGACAGAGAGACUGACAGCAGGUAGAGAGACCCAAACAGACAGAGAGACUGACAGCAGGUAGAGAGACCCAAACAGACAGAGAGAGACUGACAGCAGGUAGAGAGACCCAAACAGACAGAGAGAGACUGACAGCAGGUAGAGAGACCCAAACAGACAGAGAGACUGACAGCAGGUAGAGAGACCCAAACAGACAGAGAGAGACUGACAGCAGGUAGAGAGACCCAAACAGACAGAGAGAGACUGACAGCAGGUAGAGAGACCCAAACAGACAGAGAGAGACUGACAGCAGGUAGAGAGACCCAAACAGACAGAGAGACUGACAGCAGGUAGAGAGACCCAAACAGACAGAGAGACUGACAGCAGGUAGAGAGACCCAAACAGACAGAGAGACUGACAGCAGGUAGAGAGACCCAAACAGACAGAGAGACUGACAGCAGGUAGAGAGACCCAAACAGACAGAGAGACUGACAGCAGGUAGAGAGACCCAAACAGACAGAGAGAGACUGACAGCAGGUAAAGAGACCCAAACAGACAGAGAGAGACUGACAGCAGGUAGAGAGACCCAAACAGACAGAGAGACUGACAGCAGGUAGAGAGACCCAAACAGACAGAGAGACUGACAGCAGGUAGAGAGACCCAAACAGACAGAGAGAGACUGACAGCAGGUAGAGACCCAAACAGACAGACUGACAGCAGGUAGAGAGACCCAAACAGACAGAGAGACUGACAGCAGGUAGAGAGACCCAAACAGACAGGGAGACUGACAGCAGGUAGAGACCCAAACAGACAGACUGACAGCAGGUAGAGAGACCCAAACAGACAGAGAGACUGACAGCAGGUAGAGAGACCCAAACAGACAGACUGACAGCAGGUAGAGAGACCCAAACAGACAGACUGACAGCAGGUAGAGAGACCCAAACAGACAGACUGACAGCAGGUAGAGAGACCCAAACAGACACAGACUGACAGCAGGUAGAGACCCAAACAGACAGAGAGACUGACAGCAGGUAGAGAGACCCAAACAGACAGAGACUGACAGCAGGUAGAGAGACCCAAACAGACAGAGACUGACAGCAGGUAGAGAGACCCAAACAGACAGAGAGAGACUGACAGCAGGUAAAGAGACCCAAACAGACAGAGAGAGACUGACAGCAGGUAGAGAGACCCAAACAGACAGAGAGACUGACAGCAGGUAGAGAGACCCAAACAGACAGAGAGACUGACAGCAGGUAGAGAGACCCAAACAGACAGAGAGAGACUGACAGCAGGUAGAGACCCAAACAGACAGACUGACAGCAGGUAGAGAGACCCAAACAGACAGAGAGACUGACAGCAGGUAGAGAGACCCAAACAGACAGGGAGACUGACAGCAGGUAGAGACCCAAACAGACAGACUGACAGCAGGUAGAGAGACCCAAACAGACAGACUGACAGCAGGUAGAGAGACCCAAACAGACAGAAUGACAGCAGGUAGAGAGACCCAAACAGACAGAGACUGACAGCAGGUAGAGAGACCCAAACAGACAGAGAGACUGACAGCAGGUAGAGAGACCCAAACAGACAGACUGACAGCAGGUAGAG
Oncorhynchus keta (chum salmon) is the source of this 3344-nucleotide long non-coding RNA. RefSeq lists it as uncharacterized. NCBI's taxonomy places the organism in Eukaryota, Metazoa, Chordata, Actinopteri, Salmoniformes, Salmonidae. The record is from RefSeq and is a predicted model, not a curated record. The transcript has 6 exons.